UCUUAACCAGAUCCUCUACAGGAUGAAAUGCAUCAACUGGGAGGAAAUCACUACACACCAGCCUUCAAGAGGAAAGUUAGAAGUGAUUUCUUGAAUUUAUCUUUGGAGAGUUCCUUCAAGCUAAUUUUGCCAGCCUAUCCUGAAAUAAUACCCACCACCAUGAUCGCCUUUAUUAUCAUCAUCACCACCAUCACAUCACCAUCAUCAUCACCGUCAGCACCACCACCACCACCACUCCAAAACUGGCUUUUGAGAGGUGUGUGCUUAAGUGGACUUUGGUCCCGCUGACUGACUUCGUUAUCCCUAUUCGGAACAACGCUAUCAGCCCACUGAUGACUUAUCUGCCUGUUAGCUCUCAUGCCCCACCCUCUUAGUACAGCCUCCCAAGCCGGAAUCCUCUUCCUGGCCUUAUGGCUGUCACUU
Mus musculus (house mouse) is the source of this 423-nucleotide long non-coding RNA. RefSeq annotates it as predicted gene, 38995. The record is from RefSeq and is a predicted model, not a curated record. NCBI's taxonomy places the organism in Eukaryota, Metazoa, Chordata, Mammalia, Rodentia, Muridae. The transcript has 3 exons.